GGGAGGGGGCCGAAACAGGAUCGACGAACGUCUAAAGGGGCCAGCUUUCGCUCGGUGAGCCACCACCGUUAUCGGUGCAAAAUGUACAGUUGCCAAUGACAACCGUGCUCCGGCAAUGGCUCUGGCUGCGUAAGCAGUUCGAGUCGCCGAAACUAAGUCCUUGGGCUUAGCAGCUCAAGGCGGGGUCCGCAGGCACCUGGCAACAGAAGCCUGCACU
This 217-nucleotide transfer-messenger RNA is filed under the name Rhodobacter ferrooxidans. RNAcentral describes it as "Rhodobacter sp. SW2 Alphaproteobacteria transfer-messenger RNA". It matches the Rfam family "Alphaproteobacteria transfer-messenger RNA", at positions 143 to 355 of the family's 355-position model. From Rfam's summary of the family: Bacterial tmRNA, also known as 10Sa RNA or SsrA, is named for its dual tRNA and mRNA-like properties. Its role is to liberate the mRNA from a stalled ribosome. To accomplish this part of the tmRNA is used as a reading frame that ends in a translation stop signal. The record is from Rfam by way of RNAcentral. Lineage: Bacteria; Pseudomonadati; Pseudomonadota; Alphaproteobacteria; Rhodobacterales.